GACGAACGCUGGCGGCGUGCUUAACACAUGCAAGUCGAACGGAAAGGCCCUGCUUUUGUGGGGUGCUCGAGUGGCGAACGGGUGAGUAACACGUGAGUAACCUGCCCUUGACUUUGGGAUAACUUCAGGAAACUGGGGCUAAUACCGGAUAGGAGCUCCUGCUGCAUGGUGGGGGUUGGAAAGUUUCGGCGGUUGGGGAUGGACUCGCGGCUUAUCGGCUUGUUGGUGGGGUAGUGGCUUACCAAGGCUUUGACGGGUAGCCGGCCUGAGAGGGUGACCGGCCACAUUGGGACCGAGAUACGGCCCAGACUCCUACGGGAGGCAGCAGUGGGGAAUAUUGCACAAUGGGCGGAAGCCUGAUGCAGCAACGCCGCGUGCGGGAUGACGGCCUUCGGGUUGUAAACCGCUUUCGCCUGUGACGAAGCGUGAGUGACGGUAAUGGGUAAAGAAGCACCGGCUAACUACGUG
This 468-nucleotide ribosomal RNA is filed under the name uncultured bacterium. Its description in RNAcentral is "partial 16S ribosomal RNA". It matches the Rfam family "Bacterial small subunit ribosomal RNA", at positions 28 to 507 of the family's 1533-position model. The record is from RNAcentral.